UCAACAUGGCGGAUGCAGGCUCACAGGCUUUAUACAAGAAUGUAACGCCAUCGUGCGAUCAUAAAGCCCUAAAGGAAUGCCUAGAUAAAAAUAAUGGUGACAGAUCCAAAUGUAUGAAGGAAUGGGAAGAUUUCCAGCGUUCCUGUGCUGAAAAUAAGAGGAAAUUGCAAGAAAAACAAGAAACAGCUCCCUGUGGUUGUGAUUAAAAAAGGAAGGCAAGCAGGAAAAGGAAUUGACUAGGAAUAUUGUUAGAAAUGGACCUACUUGUCACACCAUCCACAUGUUUUGAAGCAGUGA
Long non-coding RNA from Orbicella faveolata, 297 nucleotides. Lineage: Eukaryota; Metazoa; Cnidaria; Anthozoa; Scleractinia; Merulinidae. The record is from RefSeq and is a predicted model, not a curated record.